RNAcentral lists this unclassified non-coding RNA (263 nucleotides) under plant metagenome. RNAcentral describes it as "partial contains small subunit ribosomal RNA, internal transcribed spacer 1, and 5.8S ribosomal RNA". The record is from RNAcentral.
UUUCCGUAGGUGAACCUGCGGAAGGAUCAUUAUUGUAUAACCGAGGUGCGAGGGCUGUCGCUGACCCGAAAGGUCGUGCACGCCCGAGUGCCCUCACACACUGCCAUCUCACCCCUAUGUGCACCACCGCGUGGGUCCCCCUUUGGCUUGUUCGGAGGGGGGCUUACGUUUUCACAAAAACUUUGUAUGCAGUGUAGAAUGUAUUUUUUGUUUUUGCGAUCACGCAAUCAAUACAACUUUCAACAACGGAUCUCUUGGCUCUC